AUGUUUAACUCUGAGGGUUGUUCUUCCCCUAAUACCCUUUCCAGUAUCAACAAAGCUCUGUCAAAAACUCCAAGGUCCGCUCUUCAAGAUAUACUCCAUAUCCUUUUUUGUAGUAAACUUGAAAAGGAACAGGUUUUUUCUCAGAUCUUGUAUCUCCACGGUAUUCUUCAACUUCCAAGCAUUCAGAAUUGUACUUUUGAAAGCUGCUGGAAGUGGGGUAGUAGCAAGCAACAAAAGUUUUGGAAAUAUUUAUCCGGGAAUUUAUAGUGUACACAGAGAUUGGUUAUUGAGUUGUCGUUCGAUAAAUUUCUCAUUAAUGA
Vicia faba (fava bean) is the source of this 320-nucleotide non-coding RNA. The record is from the annotation of a GenBank genome assembly. Lineage: Eukaryota; Viridiplantae; Streptophyta; Magnoliopsida; Fabales; Fabaceae.